GACAAACAGGCCAAAUUAAAAUUUGUACAGUAAAAAGGGGGUUAAAAAAUAAUAGUAAAAGAAAUUCUAUGUUUCCUAAGAAGGUUAAAUUUGAAUAGGAAGAAGUGAUUUAUUAAUUUCUUAAUUUUGAGGCCCCGAAAUUUCAGGAUAAGACCGGGAUUAGAUACCCCGUUAUUUGAAUUGUAAAUUUUGAUUAAUGGACAAUAGUUUACUUGAGUAUUACGAGUGUGAAUAAAUAAAGAGUAGGAUUAUUUAUUUACUUUUUCUUAAAACUUAAAGAACUUGGCGGUGCCUUAAGUCCUUCCAGGGGAACCUGUCCUGUAAUUGAUAGUCCACAAUUUAACUUUCCUUUUAUUGAAGAACAGUAUGUUCUCAGCUUGUAUACCGUCGUCGUCAGAUUACCUUUAAGAGUAAUGAAGUUAUCGGAAAGAAUAGUGUUGUUGACAUAGCGCAUAAAGCGUUUAUUAAAUAUAACAAUCUCUGGACGUCAGAUCAAGGUGCAGCUAAUGAAAAGGUAGAGAUGGGUUACAGUAAUGAAUUAUUAUACGGAUUUCUUAUUGUAAUAGAAGAAUGAAGGAGGACUUGGAAGUAAUUUUGAGAGUAAGAGAGCUUUAAUGAAUGAUGGUUCUGAGGCGUGC
RNAcentral lists this ribosomal RNA (638 nucleotides) under Antimargarita dulcis. RNAcentral describes it as "partial 12S ribosomal RNA". Lineage: Eukaryota; Metazoa; Mollusca; Gastropoda; Trochida; Turbinidae. The record is from RNAcentral.